This 253-nucleotide ribosomal RNA is filed under the name uncultured bacterium. RNAcentral describes it as "partial 16S ribosomal RNA". It matches the Rfam family "Bacterial small subunit ribosomal RNA", at positions 526 to 779 of the family's 1533-position model. The record is from RNAcentral.
CGUAGGGGCAAGCGUUAUCCGGAUUUACUGGGUGUAAAGGGAGCGUAGACGGAGCAGCAAGUCUGAUGUGAAAACCCGGGGCUCAACCCCGGGACUGCAUUGGAAACUGUUGAUCUGGAGUGCCGGAGAGGUAAGCGGAAUUCCUAGUGUAGCGGUGAAAUGCGUAGAUAUUAGGAGGAACACCAGUGGCGAAGGCGGCUUACUGGACGGUAACUGACGUUGAGGCUCGAAAGCGUGGGGAGCAAACAGGAUU